This 1365-nucleotide ribosomal RNA is filed under the name Triticum aestivum (bread wheat). RNAcentral describes it as "partial small subunit ribosomal RNA". Lineage: Eukaryota; Viridiplantae; Streptophyta; Magnoliopsida; Poales; Poaceae. The record is from RNAcentral.
AUGCUUCAAUAUUUGGACAUUUCCAACAACAAUCUUCAAGGUUCAGUUCCAGUGGAGAUCUUCAGAAUCCCAUCAAUGAUAGGAAUUGAUUUGUCGUUCAACAACCUUGACGAACGACUUUCUAGUGACAUUGGCAAUGCCAAACAACUCAUAUAUUUUCAGCUUUCUUCAAAUAAGUUAUCUGGAGAUAUUCCAAAUACACUAGGUGAUUGUGAAAGCUUAGAAGAAAUUCAGUUAGGCUCAAAUAUUUUCAGCGGAAGCAUUCCCACUUCAUUGGGAAAGAUAAGCAACCUCAAAGUUUUGAAUUUUUAUGCCAAUAACUUAACUGGGUCAAUACCAACAUCUCUUGGCAACCUACAACUACUUGAGAAACUAGAUUUGUCAUUCAACCAACUUCAUGGUGCGGUUCCAACAAAAGGGAUCUUCAAUAAUGCAACUGCCGUGCGUAUUGAUGGAAAUCAGGGGCUUUGUGGUGGGGUACUGGAGUUACAUAUGCUAGCAUGUUCUGUGAUGCCUUCAAAUUCAACUAGGCACAAGGAAUCUUUAGUGCUUAAAGUAGUUAUCACAAUAGCUAGUUUGGUGUCACUUGCUAUGGUCAUAGUUGGCUUAUUGCUCUCGAGAGGAAAGCACAAGAGCAAAUCUACAUCUCUACCAUCAUUUGUUACAAAAUUCCCCCAAGUUUCUUUCAAUGAUCUAGCCAGAGCAACAGAGGGAUUCUCAACGUCCAACCUAAUUGGUAGAGGGAGUUACGGUUCUGUAUAUAAAGGGAAACUAGUUCAUGAUGAAAAAGAGGUUGCUGUGAAAGUGUUCAACCUAGAGACAAGAGGGGCACACAAGAGCUUCAUUGCAGAAUGUAAUAUGUUGAGAAAUGUGAGACACCGCAAUCUAGUCCCUAUCCUAACUGCAUGCUCAAGCAUUGAUUCUAAUGGGAAUGAUUUCAAGGCUCUAGUGUAUGAGCUCAUGCCACGAGGGGACUUACAUAAACUACUAUACUCAACUGGACAGUAUGAAAGCUCUUCAGAUUUGAUCCUCAUUGCGAUGGCUCAAAGGAUAAGUAUUGUGGUGGACGUAGCGGAUGCACUGGAGUAUGUACACCAUAACAACCAAGAAACAAUGAUUCAUUGUGAUUUGAAGCCUAGCAACAUUCUUUUGGAUGACAAUAUGACGGCUCAUGUUGGAGACUUGGGCUUGGCAAGGUUCAAAGUUGGUUCCACAAUGUCAACCCUUGGUAACUCCAACUCUUCUUCUGUUGCAGUAAUGGGGACGAUCGGAUAUGCCGCUCCAGAAUAUGCUGGGGGCGGUCAAGUUUCAACUGCCGCCGAUGUUUACAGCUUUGGUGUCGUUCUCCUCGAGAUAUUCAUUUGA